Molecule: long non-coding RNA, 2211 nt
Organism: Nannospalax galili (Upper Galilee mountains blind mole rat)
Lineage: Eukaryota; Metazoa; Chordata; Mammalia; Rodentia; Spalacidae
Exons: 2
Source: RefSeq, a predicted model, not a curated record
GGCAAGGGGCUAAUGGUGAGAACUUCCUAGCCCUCCCAGAGGGGGGUAAAUACUAGGUUUAGAAAGACAUAAGCCAGGCCUGGCAUGGUGGUUCACCCCAUCAUACCUGCACUCAGGAGUCAGAGACAGAAAGAUCACAAGUUUGAGAUUUCAGGUGAGCCAGGACUACAUAGUGAUACUUUGUCUCCAAAAACAAAACAGAACAAAUAAAUGAGCCUCAGCACCCUGUAGUGUUUCUAGUAAACUGCCUAUAGAACAUCAAUUCCCUGUGCAUUCUGUUGGAACAUGUGUGGAUAUCAGAUGUGAGAUCAGCCUUCUCACUAACUUUCUUAGCAGACUGGGCUUAUUAAAUCAGCUCAUUUGGGGGAAGUUGAGGAUGUGUUCUGGUGACUUAUGAACAUACAGGUGUUAAGCAGUAAAUAUAGAAACUGAAGCAGAAAAGCAUUCUUGAUGGGCUCUCCAAACCUUCAGAAAAGAAGCUGUCAGAGAUGCCCAACACUACCAGGCGCUUUAUACUUGCUAGGGAGAAACAAAAGGAUAGACAGUUAUGUUGGACCAUAAAUGUGCCAUCAUCUUGUCACUUCCCAAGUAUCCACUUCAUCUCUAAAGCAAACAUCUUGAAAAAUAAAGAAGAGGCCAGAAGUCUCGGUUUGUCCUCAGAUGUUCUUCAAAAUCCAGCUUAUUGGGCACAUUGCAAGUAUCCCACUAAGCCUUCAAGUUCGGCUGUCCUUGAUUAGUCACUCUCUCCUCACUAUUGUACAUUUUCUUUGUAGAAAAUGGGAGUUUGGGGGAUUUUUUAAAUCCUGUUGGACAGUUAAGUAAUUUUGCACAGGAAUACUAGCCUAGGGCCCAGGGAAUUCCCCUAAACCACAUGGAGACUUGGUUAGCCAGACAGCAGCUCAAGUACCCUUCUGGAGAGGGUCUAGGAAUUCACAGACCCAGGUUAAUGAAAGGCUGCAGUACUACCCUGAGGGCUUAAGAGGCAGCUGAGCCGAUUAUAUCCAUUGUGAAACAAGUCUGGGAGAACUCUUAACUACUGCAAUCUACCUGCCUUUCCUCUACCUACACAGGGUGCCAGCGCUGUCUGUGUAGGAAUGAACCUUGAUGCGGCAAGCCUCCAAAUACUAAGUCAUAGCAUGAAUUUUAGAGACAUGUUUGAGCCCCAACAGACCAGGAAGAGCUCUGUGGUCCUGGCUAAGUCCCCUGAGCCUACCCACCUCUCAAUCUGCUCCCGUCUAAAAUGGGAAUAAAAGAGACACAAAAUUCUUAUAAGGACUGAUGCUGAGAAAGUUGCUAUGCACUCUGCAGGCAUAAGCUAUUCACUGCGUGUUAAGUGUCGGGCCUGGCUCUAGGAAAACCAGGUAAAAAACGCACUGGUCACAUCCGGCGUCCAAGCAUCUGGGCUGGGAUGGAUCUAGUGAAGACCCAUCAGUGUGGGCCUCCGAAAUACCGCCCACUUUCCUUCCCUGGGCCUCGGCUGCGCCAGUCGUCUCGUCGCCUUAGGGGCCACCCGAUGUCUACACCCCUUUCCCACGCAGUUCCGCGGUGGAGGAAGCCUCGGUCCUCCUGCCUCACUCCCUCAGUAUCUUUUCGCGUCCUCAUUUCCCUGUCCAAAAUAAAACCGAACGCGAACCUCGCUCUAAGCUGAAUCUCAAAAGCAGGAUCAACGCUUUGCGAGAACCGCUGGGACCGCAGGCUUGGGACGAGUCUCAUCCCGGAGGCUCCUGGGCCCAGUCCGCCGGGGAGCCGCUGCAGACCGGUCUCCUAGGACUUCUCACACAGCCUCCAGGAGCCACAUUCUGCCCAGAUCUGUUGGAAAACUACAGUUCCGAAACCUAGCGGGGAAAGCGCCUGCAGCCCCACGUGGCUCCGGUCCUGCUGCCUCUCCACUGGGAGUCCGAGAGCGUCAUGUAGGUGCUCCAUCCCCGGCCCUUCCCGAAGGUGCUCCAUCCCCGGUGCGUCCGGCAGAUGCUCCAUCCUCUGCCCGGCCCAAAGGUGCUCCAUCCCGCUCCGUUCUGCUCAACUUGGGCCCCCCGCCACACACUGUACUCGUUUUAAUGAGUUUCCUUGUGAUCAGUUAACGUUGCCUCUCUUGAUGACAUGAAAUAAAUGUGUCACGCUAAAAAAAAAAAAAAGAGAGAGAGAGAGAGAGAGCGAGCGGUUAUCUUGGACCCUUCAGUAAAGUAGUUAAAUAAACAUCUCCAAACGCGG